This 435-nucleotide ribosomal RNA is filed under the name uncultured bacterium. Its description in RNAcentral is "bacterial SSU rRNA". It matches the Rfam family "Bacterial small subunit ribosomal RNA", at positions 54 to 485 of the family's 1533-position model. The record is from RNAcentral.
GAUGCAGUCAACGCGAAGUCCCCUUCGGGGGGCGAGUAGAGUGGCGAACUGGUUAGUACAAGGUGGACAACGUGCCCUCUGGUGGGGGAUAACCCCUGGAAACAGGGGCUAAUACCGCAUGAGCCCCGCAGGUCUCCGGACCAGCGGGGGAAAGGUCUCGGCCGCCGGAGGAGCGAUCCACCCCCCAUUAGCUUGUUGGUGAGGUAAAAGCUCACCAAGGCGACGAUGGGUAGCUGGUCUGAGAGGAUGGUCAGCAACACUGGGACUGAGAUACGGCCCAGACUCCUACGGGAGGCAGCAGUCUAGAGGCUUCGGCAAUGGGGGAAACCCUGACCGAGCGACGCCGCGUGGAGGAUGACGCACCUCGGUGUGUAAACUCCUGUCAGUUGGGGAGAAAGCCCCGGUGGUGAACCGGGGACUGACUGUCCCAGCAGA